UGGAACUCUGCAGUGUGUCAAGACCGAUCUUCUAGUUGCAUGAAAGGGCCUGAGGAGGUCAUCUAGUGCAAUCCCCUGCUCAAAGCAAGGUCAAAUACAAAAGGUUGCUUAGUAAUUGAUACUGAAGUGAAUCUUCAUUUCAAGCUGCUGUGUUUGUUGAGGAGGAAGAAGAAUCAUCAUAACUCACCCAUUUCCGUAGAAAUAGAUAUGGCCCAUAUCUACCCAAGAAAUGAAACAAAACAAAGAGGCAGAGAUAAAGAAGCACUUGUAAUAGACAAUUCUGUCCAUUGA
Molecule: long non-coding RNA, 291 nt
Filed under: Anser brachyrhynchus (Pink-footed goose)
Lineage: Eukaryota; Metazoa; Chordata; Aves; Anseriformes; Anatidae
Description: lncRNA (ENSABRG00000001925.1)
Source: RNAcentral